CUAACGGCUGAACCAGCAACUUGGAGGAAUGUAUAGCUACGGCUAAUUGUGUAUAACUACACGAUAUCGACUCUGUCGAAUAAAAUUCUGGGUAAAUUAUGAUGAUGACAUUUUUUACCUAUGUGUCUUGACCAAAUUGUGUGCCAGCAGUCGCGGUAAUACAUAGAAGACUAGUGUUAUUCAUCUUUAAUAGGUUUAAAGGGUACCUAGACGGUAGAUCAAGCCCUAUACGGGACUAAUUUGCUAGAGUUACUUAUGAGGGGGCUUUAAAGUACUAAUGGUGUAGAGAUAAAAUUUUGUAAUACCAUUUUUCGUAAAGAAAAAUUAUGGCACUGGUAAAGGUGAAAGCAUCCCCCUAUGGAG
RNAcentral lists this ribosomal RNA (363 nucleotides) under Ramalina intermedia. RNAcentral's name for it is "SSU rRNA". Lineage: Eukaryota; Fungi; Ascomycota; Lecanoromycetes; Lecanorales; Ramalinaceae. The record is from RNAcentral.